AUACGGAGGAUGCGAGCGUUAUCCGGAUUUAUUGGGUUUAAAGGGUGCGUAGGCGGCCUUGUAAGUCAGCGGUGAAAUUUUGCAGCUUAACUGUAAAAGUGCCGUUGAUGCUGUGAGGCUAGGAUUUGGUUGCUGUGGGUGGAAUGUGUGGUGUAGCGGUGAAAUGCUUAGAGAUCACACAGAAUAUCGAUUGCGAAGGCAGCUCACAAAGCCAAUAUUGACGCUGAGGCACGAAAGUGUGGGGAUCAAACAGGAUUAGAUACCCUGGUAGUCCACACUGUAAACGAUGAUAACUCGCUGUCGGCGAUAUACAGUCGGUGGCCAAGCGAAAGCGAUAAGUUAUCCACCUGGGGAGUACGACCGCAAGGUUGAAACUCAAAUGAAUUGGCGGGG
Molecule: ribosomal RNA, 393 nt
Filed under: uncultured bacterium
Lineage: Bacteria
Description: partial 16S ribosomal RNA
Rfam family: Bacterial small subunit ribosomal RNA
Source: RNAcentral